Molecule: long non-coding RNA, 512 nt
Filed under: Apteryx owenii (little spotted kiwi)
Lineage: Eukaryota; Metazoa; Chordata; Aves; Apterygiformes; Apterygidae
Description: lncRNA (ENSAOWG00000011564.1)
Source: RNAcentral
AUGGCUCCAAGUAUAACCCCUACUGAGAGAUACUUGCAUAUAGAGCAAGUAGGUGAUCACAGAUCCAGGAAGAGGUCCCUGUUCUGCCUGAUCCAGACCAAGCUCUUGAGCCUGGGUUACCUAAGUCUCAGUCUUUUGAGUUCACCAUGUACCAGGUCAAUGAAGCCUGCACAUUUAUUAUUAUUAUUUUAUCCACACAUUCUCACAGAGGAAAAAUAAAAAGAUAGGGGGCAUGAAACAACAAUAAGUUUACUACUUUGUUUAUCUCUAUUAUACAGUUCAAUUAGGAUACUUUUUUGUUUUACGGAAUUAAAAGGUUUAUAUAUAUACAUAUAUAUAUAUAUAUAUAUAAAAACAUACUUAAUGCAUAAGGAAAUAACUUAUUUGAUUGAACUACCUUGAAAUACGAUAGAUGACAAUUAGAUGUAUUCUAGCCUACAGGAUGAUGUGUUUUAUUCAUUCCCUACCAAACAAACUCAAGAGUUGAAAAGAUAUGAAAGAAUACAUUUCGC